AACGAACGCUGGCGGCAUGCCUAACACAUGCAAGUCGAACGAGACCUUCGGGUCUAGUGGCGCACUGGUGCGUAACGCGUGGGAACCUGCCCUUAGGUUCGGAAUAACUCCCCGAAAGGGGUGCUAAUACCGGAUAAUGUCUCCGGACCAAAGAUUUAUCGCCUUUGGAUGGGCCCGCGUUGUAUUAGCUAGUUGGUAGGGUAAAAGCCUACCAAGGCGACGAUCCAUAGCUGGUCUGUGAGGAUGAUCAGCCACACUGGGACUGAGACACGGCCCAGACUCCUACGGGAGGCAGCAGUGGGGAAUAUUGGACAAUGGGCGAAAGCCUGAUCCAGCAAGGCCGGGAAAGUGAUGAAGGCCUUAGGGUUGUAAAGCUCUUUUACCCGGGAUGAUAAUGACAGUACCGGGAGAAUAAGCUCCGGCUAACUCCGUG
Molecule: ribosomal RNA, 433 nt
Filed under: uncultured bacterium
Lineage: Bacteria
Description: partial 16S ribosomal RNA
Rfam family: Bacterial small subunit ribosomal RNA
Source: RNAcentral